CCUACGGGGUGCAGCAGUAGGGAAUUUUCGUCAAUGGGCGCAAGCCUGAACGAGCAAUGCCGCGUGAACGAGGAAGGUCUUCGGAUCGUAAAGUUCUGUUGAAGGGGAAAAAGAGCGGAGAGAGGAAAUGCUUUCUGAUUGAUAUUACCCUUCGAGGAAGUCACGGCUAACUACGUGCCAGCAGCCGCGGUAAUACGUAGGUGGCGAGCGUUAUCCGGAAUGAUUGGGCGUAAAGGGUGCGUAGGCGGCCUGCUAAGUCUGGAGUGAAAGGUACCGGCUCAACCGGUACAGGCUCUGGAAACUGGCGGGCUAGAGAGCAGGAGAGGGCGGUGGAACUCCUGGUGUAGGAGUGAAAUCCGUAGAUAUCAGGAGGAACAUCAGUGGCGAAGGCGGCCGCCUGGCACAAAACUGACGCUGAGGUGCGAAAGCGUGGGUAGCAAACAGGAUUAGAUACCCUGGUAGUC
Molecule: ribosomal RNA, 464 nt
Filed under: uncultured bacterium
Lineage: Bacteria
Description: partial 16S ribosomal RNA
Rfam family: Bacterial small subunit ribosomal RNA
Source: RNAcentral